UGGGGAGAGAGAUGUAGAAGACAGAAAGAGGUAAAACAGAGGAAGAAAGAGGAGGUGGGGAGAGAGAUGUAGAAGACAGAAAGAGGUAAAACAGAUGAAGAAAGAGGAGGUGGGGAGAGAGAUGUAGAAGACAGAAAGGGAAAGAGGUGGGGAUAGAGAUGUAGAAGACAGAAAGAGGUAAAACAGAGGAAGAAAGAGGAGGUGGGGAGAGAGAUGUAGAAGACAGAAAGAGGUAAAACAGAGGAAGAAAGAGGAGGUGGGGAGAGAGAUGUAGAAGACAGAAAGGGAAAGAGGUGGGGAGAGAGAUGUAGAAGACAGAAAGAGGUAAAACAGAGGAAUAAAGAGGAGGUGGGGAGAGAGAUGUAGAAGACAGAAAGAGGUAAAACAGAGGAAGAAAGAGGAGGUGAGGAGAGAGGUCUAGAAGACAGAAAGAGGUCAAACAGAGGAAGAAAGAGGAGGUGGGGAGAGAGGUGUAGAAGACAGUAAGAUGUAAAACAGAGGAAUAAAGA
Oncorhynchus tshawytscha (Chinook salmon) is the source of this 509-nucleotide long non-coding RNA. NCBI's taxonomy places the organism in Eukaryota, Metazoa, Chordata, Actinopteri, Salmoniformes, Salmonidae. The record is from Ensembl.